GGACUACUCGGGUUUCUAAUCCCGUUCGCUACCCUGGCCUUCGUGUUUCAGCGUCAGGUUCUGCCCAGAGUCUUGCUUUCGCUAUAAGUGUUCCUCUCGAUAUCUACGCAUUUCACUGCUACACCGAGAAUUCCAGACUCCUCUACAGACCUCCAGCAUGACAGUAUCGGGUGCUGUUCGGGGGUUGAGCCCCCGGAUUUCACACCUGACUUUUCACGCCGCCUACACACCCUUUACGCCCAGUGAUUCCGAACAACGCUUGAGACCUCUGUAUUACCGCGGCUGCUGGCAC
RNAcentral lists this ribosomal RNA (292 nucleotides) under uncultured Verrucomicrobiota bacterium. RNAcentral's name for it is "uncultured Verrucomicrobia bacterium partial 16S ribosomal RNA". The record is from RNAcentral. Lineage: Bacteria; Pseudomonadati; Verrucomicrobiota.